AAAUUGAAGAGUUUGAUCAUGGCUCAGAUUGAACGCUGGCGGCAGGCCUAACACAUGCAAGUCGAACGGUAACAGGAAACAGCUUGCUGUUUCGCUGACGAGUGGCGGACGGGUGAGUAAUGUCUGGGAAACUGCCUGAUGGAGGGGGAUAACUACUGGAAACGGUAGCUAAUACCGCAUAAUGUCGCAAGACCAAAGAGGGGGACCUUCGGGCCUCUUGCCAUCGGAUGUGCCCAGAUGGGAUUAGCUAGUAGGUGGGGUAACGGCUCACCUAGGCGACGAUCCCUAGCUGGUCUGAGAGGAUGACCAGCCACACUGGAACUGAGACA
This 329-nucleotide ribosomal RNA is filed under the name Escherichia coli. RNAcentral describes it as "bacterial SSU rRNA". It matches the Rfam family "Bacterial small subunit ribosomal RNA", at positions 1 to 326 of the family's 1533-position model. The record is from RNAcentral. Lineage: Bacteria; Pseudomonadati; Pseudomonadota; Gammaproteobacteria; Enterobacterales; Enterobacteriaceae.